CCGGCACGGGUGGAGUAACACGUAUGCAAUCCACCUGUAACAGGGGGAUAACCCGGAGAAAUCCGGACUAAUACCCCAUAAUAUGGGCGCUCCGCAUGGAGAGCCCAUUAAAGAGAGCAAUUUUGGUUACAGACGAGCAUGCGCUCCAUUAGCCAGUUGGCGGGGUAACGGCCCACCAAAGCGACGAUGGAUAGGGGUUCUGAGAGGAAGGUCCCCCACAUUGGAACUGAGACACGGUCCAA
This 242-nucleotide ribosomal RNA is filed under the name uncultured bacterium. RNAcentral's name for it is "partial 16S ribosomal RNA". It matches the Rfam family "Bacterial small subunit ribosomal RNA", at positions 100 to 334 of the family's 1533-position model. The record is from RNAcentral.